UGGGGAAUCUUGCACAAUGGGCGAAAGCCUGAUGCAGCAACGCCGCGUGAGUGAUGAAGGUCUUCGGAUCGUAAAGCUCUUUCGGCCGGGACGAAAACGGCAUGGCCAAUAUCCAUGUCCUUGACUGUACCGGAAGAAGAAGCACCGGCUAACUCUGUGCCAGCAGCCGCGGUAAUACAGAGGGUGCGAGCGUUGUUCGGAAUUAUUGGGCGUAAAGCGCGUGUAGGCGGUGAUGCAUGUCGGGUGUGAAAGCCCUCAGCUCAACUGAGGAAGUGCGCCCGAAACUGCAUCGCUGGAGUGCCGGAGAGGAAGGCGGAAUUCCCGGUGUAGAGGUGAAAUUCGUAGAUAUCGGGAGGAACACCAGUGGCGAAGGCGGCCUUCUGGACGGACACUGACGCUGAGACGCGAAAGCGUGGGUAGCAAACAG
Molecule: ribosomal RNA, 427 nt
Filed under: uncultured bacterium
Lineage: Bacteria
Description: bacterial SSU rRNA
Rfam family: Bacterial small subunit ribosomal RNA
Source: RNAcentral